GAUGAACGCUGGCGGCGUGCCUAAUACAUGCAAGUCGAGCGAACGGACUAGAAGCUUGCUUCUCUGAUGUUUGCGGCGGACGUGUGGGUAACACGUGUAUAACCUACCUAUAAUACUGGGAUAACUUCGGGAAACCGGCGCUAAUACCGUAUAAUAUUUUGAACCGCAUGGUUCAAAAGUGAAAGACGGUCUUGCUGUCACUUAUAGAUGGAUCCUCGCUGCAUUAGCUAGUUGGUAAGGUAACGGCUUACCAAGGCAACGAUGCAUAGCCGACCUGAGAGGGUGAUCGGCCACACUGGAAAUGAGACACGGUCCAGACUCCUACGGGAGGCAGCAGUAGGGAAUCUUCCGAAAUGGGCGAAAGCCUGACGGAGCAAAGCCGCGUGAGUGAUGAAGGUCUUCGGAUCGUAAAACUCUGUUAUUAGGGAAGAACAUAUGUGUAAGUAACUGUGCACAUCUUGACGGUACCUAAUCAGAAAGCCACGGCUAACUAAGUG
RNAcentral lists this ribosomal RNA (497 nucleotides) under uncultured bacterium. RNAcentral describes it as "partial 16S ribosomal RNA". It matches the Rfam family "Bacterial small subunit ribosomal RNA", at positions 28 to 507 of the family's 1533-position model. The record is from RNAcentral.